RNAcentral lists this ribosomal RNA (597 nucleotides) under Rhopalosiphum padi (bird cherry-oat aphid). RNAcentral describes it as "SSU rRNA". It matches the Rfam family "Eukaryotic small subunit ribosomal RNA", at positions 24 to 559 of the family's 1831-position model. The record is from RNAcentral. Lineage: Eukaryota; Metazoa; Arthropoda; Insecta; Hemiptera; Aphididae.
UCAUAUGCUUGUCUCAAAGAUUAAGCCAUGCAUGUCUCAGUGCAAGCCGCAUUAAGGUGAAACCGCGAAAGGCUCAUUAAAUCAGUUGUGGUUCCUUAGAUCGUACCCAAGUUACUUGGAUAACUGUGGUAAUUCUAGAGCUAAUACAUGCCGACAGAGUUCCGACCGUCGCGGCGCCCUCGGGUGUCGCGUGCGGGAGGAACGCUUUUAUUAGAUCAAAACCGGCCCGUCGCGGCGCGCUUCGUGCGCGUCCCGAUCGCGGCCCGCGCAAAGACCUGGUGACUCUGAAUAACUUCGAGCUGAUCGCACGGUCUCCGUACCGGCGACGCAUCUUUCAAAUGUCUGCCUUAUCAACUGUCGACGGUAGGUUCCAUGCCUACCGUGGUGGUAACGGGUAACGGGGAAUCAGGGUUCGAUUCCGGAGAGGGAGCCUGAGAAACGGCUACCACAUCCAAGGAAGGCAGCAGGCGCGCAAAUUACCCACUCCCGGAACGGGGAGGUAGUGACGAAAAAUAACGAUACGGGACUCAUCCGAGGCCCCGUAAUCGGAAUGAGAACACUUUAAAACCUUUAAACGAGGAUCAAUUGGAGGGCAAG